RNAcentral lists this ribosomal RNA (262 nucleotides) under uncultured bacterium. RNAcentral's name for it is "partial 16S ribosomal RNA". It matches the Rfam family "Bacterial small subunit ribosomal RNA", at positions 793 to 1055 of the family's 1533-position model. The record is from RNAcentral.
GUCCACGCCGUAAACGGUGGGCACUAGGUGUGGGAUUCACUCAACGGAUUCCGUGCCGCAGCUAACGCAUUAAGUGCCCCGCCUGGGGAGUACGGCCGCAAGGCUAAAACUCAAAGGAAUUGACGGGGGCCCGCACAAGCGGCGGAGCAUGUUGCUUAAUUCGAGGCAACGCGAAGAACCUUACCUAGGUUUGACAUGUACGGAAAAGCUACAGAGAUGUGGUGUCCUUCGGGGCCGUACACAGGUGGUGCAUGGCUGUCGU